This 69-nucleotide transfer RNA is filed under the name Thylaeodus sp. TAR-2010. RNAcentral describes it as "tRNA-Ser". Lineage: Eukaryota; Metazoa; Mollusca; Gastropoda; Littorinimorpha; Vermetidae. The record is from RNAcentral.
GUUUUAUUGUACUGGGUACUGGAGGGAUUUGAAAUCCUUUACAAAAGUGUUCGAUUCACUUAUAGAACU